CCGAUGUAGUUCAAUGGUAGAACUCCUGCUUCCCAAGCAGGUGGCGCGGGUUCGAUUCCCGUCAUCGG
Molecule: transfer RNA, 68 nt
Filed under: Corynebacterium matruchotii
Lineage: Bacteria; Bacillati; Actinomycetota; Actinomycetes; Mycobacteriales; Corynebacteriaceae
Also listed under: 3 other names
Rfam family: tRNA
About the family: Transfer RNA (tRNA) molecules are approximately 80 nucleotides in length. Their secondary structure includes four short double-helical elements and three loops (D, anti-codon, and T loops).
Source: RNAcentral